UAGUCAUAUGCUUGUCGUAAAGAGUAAGCCACGCAUGUGUACGUUCAAGCCCUUGUACGGUGAAACUGCGGAUGGCUCCUUAUAUCACGUGAUAAUUUGGUUGGUGGAGAAUGCUGUGGAUAACCGUGGUAAUUCUAGAGAUAAUACACGUGGAGCAGACGCAAGUCUGGCAUUUAUUAGAUAAAGCCUUGGCAAGGGGACAACUCGUUCCCUGCGCAGGUGAGUAAUGAUAACUGGGCGGAUCGCAAACUAUCUGCGACGCACCAAGGAAAUUUCUGCCCUAUCAACUGUGGAUGGUAGGAUAGGGGCCUACCAUGGUGGCGACGGGUGACGGGGAAUCAGGGUUCGAUUCCGGAGAGGGAGCCUGAGAGAUGGCUACCACUUCCAAGGAAGGCAGCAGGCGCGCAAAUUACCCAAUCCCGAGGCGGGGAGGUAGUGACAGGACAUGACGGGGCGGGGCGCUCAGCGUUCAGCGACUGGGUUGAGGAAAAGAUAAAGCGAAUGACGAGAAACGAUU
Molecule: ribosomal RNA, 517 nt
Filed under: uncultured eukaryote
Lineage: Eukaryota
Description: bacterial SSU rRNA
Rfam family: Eukaryotic small subunit ribosomal RNA
Source: RNAcentral